RNAcentral lists this ribosomal RNA (641 nucleotides) under Serratia rubidaea. RNAcentral's name for it is "bacterial SSU rRNA". It matches the Rfam family "Bacterial small subunit ribosomal RNA", at positions 77 to 715 of the family's 1533-position model. Lineage: Bacteria; Pseudomonadati; Pseudomonadota; Gammaproteobacteria; Enterobacterales; Yersiniaceae. The record is from RNAcentral.
UGCUUCCUCGCCGGCGAGCGGCGGACGGGUGAGUAAUGUCUGGGGAUCUGCCCGAUGGAGGGGGAUAACCACUGGAAACGGUGGCUAAUACCGCAUAACGUCGCAAGACCAAAGUGGGGGACCUUCGGGCCUCACACCAUCGGAUGAACCCAGAUGGGAUUAGCUAGUAGGUGGGGUAAUGGCUCACCUAGGCGACGAUCCCUAGCUGGUCUGAGAGGAUGACCAGCCACACUGGAACUGAGACACGGUCCAGACUCCUACGGGAGGCAGCAGUGGGGAAUAUUGCACAAUGGGCGCAAGCCUGAUGCAGCCAUGCCGCGUGUGUGAAGAAGGCCUUCGGGUUGUAAAGCACUUUCAGCGAGGAGGAAGGUGGUGAGCUUAAUACGCUCAUCAAUUGACGUUACUCGCAGAAGAAGCACCGGCUAACUCCGUGCCAGCAGCCGCGGUAAUACGGAGGGUGCAAGCGUUAAUCGGAAUUACUGGGCGUAAAGCGCACGCAGGCGGUUUGUUAAGUCAGAUGUGAAAUCCCCGAGCUUAACUUGGGAACUGCAUUUGAAACUGGCAAGCUAGAGUCUCGUAGAGGGGGGUAGAAUUCCAGGUGUAGCGGUGAAAUGCGUAGAGAUCUGGAGGAAUACCGGUGG